RNAcentral lists this ribosomal RNA (460 nucleotides) under uncultured bacterium. Its description in RNAcentral is "partial 16S ribosomal RNA". It matches the Rfam family "Bacterial small subunit ribosomal RNA", at positions 338 to 795 of the family's 1533-position model. The record is from RNAcentral.
CCUACGGGUGGCAGCAGUGAGGAAUAUUGGUCAAUGGGCGGACGCCUGAACCAGCCAAGUCGCGUGAGGGAAGACUGCCCUAUGGGUUGUAAACCUCUUUUGUCAGGGAGCAAUUGGCGCUACGUGUAGCGUUAUCGAGAGUACCUGAAGAAAAAGCAUCGGCAAACUCCGUGCCAGCAGCCGCGGUAAUACGGGGGAUGCGAGCGUUAUCUGGAUUUAUUGGGUUAAAAGGGUGCGUAGGCGGAAUGCCAAGUCAGCGGUAAAAGCGCGGGGGUCAACCUCGCUCCGCCGUUGAAACUGGCGUUCUAGAGUGGGCGAGAAGGAUGCGGAAUGCGUGGUGUAGCGGUGAAAUGCAUAGAUAUCACGCAGAACUCCGAUUGCGAAGGCAGCAUACCGGCGCCCAACUGACGCUGAAGCACGAAAGCGUGGGUAGCGAACAGGAUUAGAUACCCGGGUAGUC